GACAGAGGGUGCAAACGUUGUUCGGAAUUACUGGGCGUAAAGCGCGUGUAGGCUGCUCGGAAAGUCGGAUGUGAAAGCCCUGGGCUCAACCUAGGAAGUGCAUUCGAAACUUCCGAGCUGGAGUGCUGGAGAGGAAGGCGGAAUUCUCGGUGUAGAGGUGAAAUGCGUAGAGAUCUGGAGGAACACCGAUGGCGAAGGCAGCCUUCUGGGCCAACACUGACGCUCAUGCACGAAAGCGUGGGGAGCAAACAGG
Molecule: ribosomal RNA, 253 nt
Filed under: uncultured bacterium
Lineage: Bacteria
Description: partial 16S ribosomal RNA
Rfam family: Bacterial small subunit ribosomal RNA
Source: RNAcentral